RNAcentral lists this ribosomal RNA (253 nucleotides) under uncultured bacterium. RNAcentral's name for it is "partial 16S ribosomal RNA". It matches the Rfam family "Bacterial small subunit ribosomal RNA", at positions 524 to 776 of the family's 1533-position model. The record is from RNAcentral.
UACGGAGGGUGCAAGCGUUAUCCGGAUUCACUGGGUUUAAAGGGUGCGUAGGUGGGCAGUUAAGUCAGUGGUGAAAUCUCCGGGCUUAACCCGGAAGCUGCCAUUGAUACUAUCUGUCUUGAAUAUCGUGGAGGUAAGCGGAAUAUGUCAUGUAGCGGUGAAAUGCUUAGAUAUGACAUAGAACACCAAUUGCGAAGGCAGCUUACUACCCGAAUAUUGACACUGAGGCACGAAAGCGUGGGGAUCAAACAGG